GUUUCAAAAAUAGAUAAAAAUAGUAGUCGUUGUCAAAGAAAAAAAGAUUUUUAACAUUAACGCCGUCAGCAAAAUACUAAAACAUAUUUUCUAAAUCUUUUGGUAAACCUUAAACCAUUGGGUGAAUCCUAAACACUAAAUCCAAAACCGUUGGAUAUACCCUAAACACUAAUCUCUCUCUAUGUUUCACUUGUUUCAUCUCCUUUUAUAGCUCUCCCGAUCUCUCUCUCUCUCAACCUCACUAUAUAUCAUAAUAUUUAUUUUCUCUCUAUUUUUUAUCUCUCUCUCUCUAUAUAUAUAUGUGUAUAAUUAUCUUAGUCACUCUUUCAGUCUCUUUCUCUCUAUCUCUAAAUACUUCUUUCUCUCCAUGUCCAUCUCUCUCUCUCUCUCUCUCUCUC
Molecule: long non-coding RNA, 398 nt
Filed under: Brassica napus (rape)
Lineage: Eukaryota; Viridiplantae; Streptophyta; Magnoliopsida; Brassicales; Brassicaceae
Description: long non-coding RNA (BNAP_LNC027109)
Source: RNAcentral